GAGCUGCCCCGGCCCCGGAGCCCGCACCGAAUGGUGGCUCAGCGACGUCUCCGGCGGUGCUGAAAUGAAUCCCCGCCGCUCUCCUUUGUGCAAAGUGGCAAAACGCCCCGUCUGCCCAGGUGCACGUGUCCCGUGUGGUGUGCAGGGGACUGGGACGGGCUUGGUAGCAUCCGGGGUGCGGAGGGAAGCGUUGCAGGAGCAGUGGCAGGAUGCACCAGAGAGCCUCGAAUGCCUGCUUUGCCUGCGUGAAUGGCAACGGGUUGGUUAUGAGGCUGGCGGGGCAGAAGGAAAGCCGAGGGACUCGAUGGUUUUUGUCUGCCUGACUUGUGGGAAAAGGGAGCACAAAAAUUUGAAGCGUGGCGAAGUUAAGGGAGCACGAGGCUGAACCAAGGCGAUGCUGUACUGCAGCCACCCUCAGCUGCUGACAGAGCCUCCAAGCGGCAGCUGAGUUCUGGGGUUGAACAGUGAGAGGCUGAGAAGCACAGAAGGGUCUGAGAAACCCCAGCACAGAAAGGCCAUCCAAAGUCCUUGAGAGUUACCAGAAGGAAAGCAUAGAAUGAGAGGAGAGCAGUGACCCCAAGCCUGAAAUUUGGAAAGGGAAAGGAAAUGAAGAUUAUAGUUUGUUGAUAAAAUAAUGGUAAUUGUUUUGUGGUCCUGUUCAUCUGUUAUUUCUGAUGGUGAUGGAUCCAGAGGCCAAGGGAAAGCAAUGCAGGGCACGUUCUGGGGGUCAUGGGGGUUAAUCAAGAAGAGAUUUGAGGUCCUUUCCCAGCCUGUUAGUCUUGCCUUCCAUUACCCAUAUCAGCAUUUCCUCUAUAGGAACAUCAGUGUUGAGCUCUCAGGCGUCAGUGAGGAUGAAAGGAGCCCCUUGUGGCUUCUGGCACUCCAUCUUCCUCUCUGGCCUGGGCAUUGGCAGGAGGGUGCUGCAGGACCUCAGAAGAACCUCAAAGCGUGCGUUAAAAAACUGGAAGUUUGCUCAAAGGCAGUUUUCAUGAGCUCAGGUGGGGAGGCCACACUUAAGUGACCUGCAAGGUUUCUUUGAAGAUACAAAGGCUGCAAUUGAUAAAGGAGAGUUGGCAGCCACAGAUGAUCUGGGUAUUUCAAAAAGAGUGUGAGAGGGCUCCAAAUCAGAGGCCUGUGGGUGAAGGGGAGCAGAAGGAUUGAAUCAAGACAGCUGCAGAAACAGGAAACCAUCUUAAAAAUAUACAUUGGAAAAAUGAGUCUAUGUUUAGACAUUAUUUUCAUGGGGAAAAUGAAAGAUAGCAUCAUUUCCAAAGCUUAUCUUGCAGUUUUUGAGGCAAAGUAUCAGAAAAUAAGAUCUUUAUUAAACAAGGAAUGUAGCAGACUGUAACAGCAUACUGACAAAAAAACUUCACUGGUUACAGCCUGCCUGGUUGCAAUACAAAAUUCUGAUUUUGUUUAACAAAAUAUUUUCCCAUGAAUGGAAAGGUUUGGUCUACAGCAGAUAAAAGAAACCAAAUCAUUUCCAAAGAUCUUCAAACUUAAGGACAGAACGUUUUCCACAGAGGCUCCUUAAAUAACUGCAUAGUGGCACUCCUGCCUCUCUUGCCCCACUGAACCAUAAUGGUGCUAUAACUGUUUCUUACUCUGCCUCACUCUACAGGCCUCCAUUUGCUGGGAUGCUGAAGGAUCUCCCAUAACUCUGCAGUGCUUUUUAGGGCUGUAAUGAGGUUCUGUAAUCCAAUGCGUACACAAGAUGAACUUAUGUGUAUAUUUGUCACAGUCAGGCGUACAUACAUUCAUCCUCUUCACUUUCAAAAUAGCAGUGGCUCCUCUUCUGUGCUUUCGGACUUGUGUUACAGAUGAUGCACUCGCUUGUGGAAGCAGCAUUGCCCAUUUAGCUCCACCAACUUCAGUUAAAGAAUGAAUGAAAGAGUAAAAUCUUGGGUCCCAUGUCAACUACCUGAAAUCAGUCCUGUCUGCACAUCCCUGGUGGGUGUCUUCUCUACCCAGGAAAGAGAAGUUGUACAGGGAGGACUUCAUAAGAAGUGGAUGUGCAUGUCCGAGAAUCACCUUAUUUUUCUCUUCUAACUCUUGUCAUAUUUAAGUUAAGUAAGCUAGCAGUUAACCUUACUAAGAUUUACUUGCUAAAAAGGAAUGAAAACAGUUUUAGGAGUGCUGGGAGACCUGUGUGGGAGGCACAGAUUUGGUAGCUUGAGCAAGGAGAUCACAGUCUAGAAAAGGAUUCUGGUAAAGCAGCAGCAGCAGGAGGUAAUGUUAUCAUGAAUUCUCAAAUGAUAUUGGCCUCAGAAAUAAAAUUGUAUUUUAUUUCCCUGGCUGAUACUGGUGACAGAUCUUGAUGGUCAUCUGCCUUGGGCUGUGGCUAACCAAAGCCUGGCGUGAGUAGGAGAAAGACAGCUGUAGAGUUCAGGAAGACUUUUUAAUGUGGGAGCCUUCUGAGAGGCUGGAGCUGCACAGCUGCUGUUCAAAGGAGAAUAUAUGCACUUUGAGCAGCCCCAUUAAAGUCACUGGGAGUGCUUACAACCUUUGCUGUUCAUCUGAAUCAACGAUUUUAGUGGUGACAGUGGAAAUGCUGCUUUGGGCUGUGUUAUUUUUUAAACUCCUAGGCAAAAGAUCAUCUGUCCCCUUACUAAUUUUAUCCUUUGUGCUAGGUCACCCUACUGCCUCCUGUGUUGUGAUGACACAGGCAGAUGAAGUCUUUCUUUUGCUUCUGUGUCUGGAGUCCUGGCAUCACCUUUGCUGACCUAUGCUUCAGCAUCCCCAGGGUAACAGGAUACAAUGAAAGGCUUACUCUGAGCCUGCAGCAACAACUGAAAUGUUCUGAGACAAACAAGGAGGAAAAUGACCUAUAAAUCUUCAUUGGCAUAAAUGGUUCAUAAAGCUGGGUGCUGAAAGGUAAGCGCAGUUGAAAUAAAUCUGAACAGUGCUGACUCCAAUGUUUAAAGCAUUGCUUAAGUCUCUUGAUUAACCCAGCUCCUCAAUAUUUGACGUGAAUCGAUAAUUGAGAUGUCUUUGCUUUUCUCUAGCUUUGUGAUUAUGAGUGUGGACGGUGCCAUGAAAUAUGAUAUUUAAUCCUGUUGAAGUAAUUCUUACGUGCUGUAUAUGAUCAUGGUUCAAUAACUGGCACUAAGGGUAAAAUGGACUGUGUUUCUUUUGUAAGCAAGCAGGAUUUAUAUAAUACAAGUGUGAGUAAAUGGAAAGCAAAAUCCACCUUCUGACACAAAUCUUCAGCCAGCUGUUGGGCAUGCAGAUUUCCUGAUUUUUGUUUGUUUUUGAACCUGUGUCUCAGCACCAGCAGUCUGUUGUUCCAGUGAGAGCUAACUCAGAGCGAACAGUGCCAGGAUGUGCUGUAGCUGUGUGCUCCAGGGAACGGGAAGAUGCUCUACCUAUAGUUUCCUGGAUGUGGGGAAAAGCCUUCUCUAGAUAUCGCAGUGCAGAAGGGCUGUAUUUAAAUGGAUGGCUUACAAAGCACAGUGCUAUGCUUGUUCUGGAAGCUUAGCAUAUAAACUCAGUUCUACUUUCUGCCUUCUUUAAAACAACAAGAAUUCUGAGCUGAGUACUGUAACUAACUGGUUAUAUCAUUCCUAGCACAUCCUUUUCAUUUUCUUUUCUUACAGUACCAAAAGGGGUAUGUGUUUCUGAAGGAGUUGAAUUUAAGCCUGGGGCAGUGGUGCCAAAAAGCUCUUGUGAAGAUUGUGUGUGUACAGAUGAGCAGGAUGCUGUGAUGUGAACCGACCGCAUCCAGUGUGUCCCAGUGAAAUGCCAAACCGCCUGCCAGCAGGUCAGUGCCGAACACAGCUCCCGCCACCAACAAUGGCUGUUGAGAGGGUGUACUGUAAAGCUGGGGCAGUACAAGUGCUGUCUUGCUGAAUAGGAUAGGAUAGCAGUAUAUAAUUUUCUGUUCAAUUUUUGUAAAGUCCUUUUUACAGUGCUGGCCAUUUAUGCUCUAGCUAACUGCAGAAAUUACCCUUGGAGGGAUUCCCUGAAGGUGAAUGACUGCAAAGCUACUAAGGAAUCACAGAAUCACAGAACUGUAGGGGUUGAAAGAGACCUUUAGAGAUCAUCGAGCUUUUCCCCCUGCCAAAGCAGGUUCCCUA
Molecule: non-coding RNA, 4076 nt
Organism: Coturnix japonica (Japanese quail)
Lineage: Eukaryota; Metazoa; Chordata; Aves; Galliformes; Phasianidae
Source: RefSeq, a predicted model, not a curated record